Molecule: ribosomal RNA, 439 nt
Filed under: uncultured bacterium
Lineage: Bacteria
Description: partial 16S ribosomal RNA
Rfam family: Bacterial small subunit ribosomal RNA
Source: RNAcentral
CUACGGGCGGCACCAGUGGGGAAUAUUGGACAAUGGGCGCAAGCCUGAUCCAGCAAUGCCGCGUGAGUGAAGACGGCCUUAGGGUUGUAAAACUCUUUCGCUAGGGAAGAUAAUGACUGUACCUAGUAAAGAAGUCCCGGCUAACUCCGUGCCAGCAGCCGCGGUAAUACGGAGGGGACUAGCGUUGUUCUGAAUUACUGGGCGUAAAGAGUUCGUAGGCGGACUGACAAGUUAGAGGUGAAAUCCCAGGGCUCAACCCUGGAACUGCCUUUAAAACUGUCAGUCUAGAGACCGGAAGAGGUUAGGGGAAUACCUAGUGUAGAGGUGAAAUUCGUAGAUAUUAGGUGGAACACCAGUGGCGAAGGCGCCUAACUGGUCCGGUACUGACGCUGAGGAACGAAAGCGUGGGGAGCAAACAGGAUUAGAUACCCGAGUAGUC